This 481-nucleotide ribosomal RNA is filed under the name uncultured bacterium. RNAcentral describes it as "bacterial SSU rRNA". It matches the Rfam family "Bacterial small subunit ribosomal RNA", at positions 28 to 526 of the family's 1533-position model. The record is from RNAcentral.
GACGAACGCUGGCGGCGUGCCUAACACAUGCAAGUCGAACGAGGUCCAUCCUUCGGGAGAAGACCUAGUGGCGAACGGGUGAGUAACACGUGAGGAACCUGCCCUGAAGACCGGGAUAACCCUCCGAAAGGAGAGCUAAUACCGGAUACCCCCAUCGGAUCGCAUGAUCUGAUGAGGAAAUGGAUUCCGCUUCAGGAGGGCCUCGCGGCCUAUCAGCUAGUUGGUGGGGUAACGGCCCACCAAGGCAUCGACGGGUAGCUGGUCUGAGAGGACGAUCAGCCACACUGGGACUGAGACACGGCCCAGACUCCUACGGGAGGCAGCAGUGGGGAAUCUUGCGCAAUGGGCGAAAGCCUGACGCAGCAACGCCGCGUGGGGGAUGAAGGCUCUCGGGUUGUAAACCCCUUUCAGCAGGGACGAAUCAAGACGGUACCUGCAGAAGAAGCCCCGGCUAACUACGUGCCAGCCGCCGCCGUAACAC